GCAGAAUCUCUUAACAGCAGCUGUGUCCCUUUGUGAUUUUAGAACACAUACAGGGCCCCUGCUCUGCUAACUUUACUUCCUCUUCUUGUUUCUUUAGCCCAAGAGACAUCAACAGGUUGUUGCUAGUCUCUGGGUGCCUCACCUUCCUGUUUGCUCUUUUAAUCCUUUCGGUAAGUAGUGCCUUUAUUAAAGUCUCUUCAUGAAACCAUCAGAGGUGGUUGCUGUUUCCUGCAGGAAUCCUAACAGACACAGUAGAUAACUUGACAGAACAAAUAUGCAGAUGAGUCAUCCAACUUGCAAAGAGGCCAUGGGAGGCACGAUGAGGUCAAGAAAAGAGCAAACUGACUUAGUGAGAGAGACCAAAGUUCCACUGCCAUCUUCCAGCUGUAUGACUUGCAUAUGCCAUUUAAAUGAAGUCUGGGUUUUUUUUAAUCUGAAAAAUUUGCCUUAUCUACCUCAAAAAAAGGGGAUGAAAAUGCAUCUUAAGCAUGAAGUGUUAUGCAAAUCUUGGUUGUGGUUAUUACUAUAAUUUCAUGUAUUGAUUUUAAACAAAAUGUACUUUGAGUUGGAAGGUAAAAAAUAUGAAAGACUCUAAGAAUGGGUAGGCGGGGAACCAAAUGAUCUGUGGCCACACUGAAGGUAGAAAAAAAGGAAGUGAAUUUGAACUAAAGAAGCAGAAGUUGAGAAAGUACCAAAGUCUUUGACUUUCAGAGUGACCGAACACCAGCAUAGUUCACCAGAGAAGAUCAGGAAUGCUGUCUCUUCUGAAAGGGUACCAAAAAGAGAGUAAACAGAUCAUUCUAUAUUGAUCAAGGAGUGGCAAACUGACAUCUGCAGAACAAAUCUGAUCCCCAGAUGAGCUCUAUUUGUUCAACAAAGAUGUUGUCGUUGUUACUUUUUUUAUUGAAUUUGAGUGCUUUGGCGCACCUAGUCUUUCUGCCACUGUAGGUCCCACGACUUUCUGUUGCCUUAUACUCAGCCCUUUAAUUAUUCAAGAUACCUGCAGAGCCCUAGAGGCCUUUGAGGUUAUCACUUCUACUGAAGGCCAGUGCCCAAGGUUGCUGCCCUGCUAUCUCUCCUCCUAAGUUUUCCUAAAUGUGUUCUAAUGGUCACUAUGCCUGCAGCCUGUCUUCUCUCCACUCCAUCUAGCAUAUGAUAAGAUAAGUCCUUAAGUCUAAACUUCUCAGCCCAAUAUAUGAUACCCUUUAAGAAAAGUUUUCAAACUUCCACUUUCAGUCUCAUCUCCUGACUUAUUUCCACACUUUUCUCCUUUAAGUCCUCCAAACUUUCCAUUUGCUAGAGACAUCAUCCUUAUUUCUACUCUCAGCCUUACAUUUGGUGUUUUCUAUGACUUGAAUGCUUUUUAUUAUUCAGAGCCAAGGUCAAAUCUCAUUCCUAUGAGGCCUUUCCUAAUUUUCUUUCACUACCCAAACACUCACUUUAGGAAGAAUUAGUUACUCUUUUUUCUGUGUUUCCACAUGAAUCUAUCCAAUUCAAGGACUUCUUUGCAUGUAAAUCUCUAUAUCCAUAUUUCCCUACCACACUGUAAAAUCUUCAAGGCCAAGGACUGCAUCAUAUUUAUUUUUGCAUCUAUCUCAGGUCCUAAUACAAUGGUUAUACUAUGAUUGUAACUGAGUAAGAGUUAUGGUGGAUACACAAUUUUCAGCAGAUGUCCACAAAGGUAGAUAAAUGAAGAAACAUAGGAAGAGUGCCUGUUAUUUUCUGUUUCUUUUAGGAUCAGUUAGUACUUUUAUAUAGGCCUUUGAUUGGGCAGUGAUAUUUUGUGGGGUACAUUGCCUACCACAGGAAUGGAG
Molecule: long non-coding RNA, 1814 nt
Filed under: Homo sapiens (human)
Lineage: Eukaryota; Metazoa; Chordata; Mammalia; Primates; Hominidae
Description: HSALNT0109661
Source: RNAcentral